This 473-nucleotide ribosomal RNA is filed under the name uncultured bacterium. RNAcentral describes it as "partial 16S ribosomal RNA". It matches the Rfam family "Bacterial small subunit ribosomal RNA", at positions 329 to 794 of the family's 1533-position model. The record is from RNAcentral.
UCCCAGACUCCUACGGGAGGCAGCAGUUAGGAAUAUUCGUCAAUGGGGGAAACCCUGAACGAGCAAUGCCGCGUGAGUGAUGAAGGCCCUAUGGGUUGUAAAACUCUGUUGUUAAGAAAGAAUGGUAGAAUUAGGAAAUGAGUUCUACUUGACGGUACUUUUCAAGAAAGCCACGACUAACUACGUGCCAGCAGUCGCGGUAAUACGUAGGUGGCGAGCGUUAUCCGGAUUUAUUGGGCGUAAAGCGUGCGCAGGCGGCUUAUUAAGUCUAAGAUUAAAGCCCGGAGCUUAACUCCGGUUCGUCUUAGAAACUGGUAGACUUGAGUAUGGUAGAGGCAAACGGAAUUCCUGGUGUAGCGGUGGAAUGCGUAGAUAUUAGGAGGAACACCAGUGGCGAAGGCGGUUUGCUGGGCCAUUACUGACGCUCAUGCACGAAAGCGUGGGGAGCAAAUAGGAUUAGAUACCCUAGUAGA